UGCCCCCGCCAUAUAAUGGCAGGGGCAUAUAGUGUUACCCUGUUUCGUCAUUCCGUCAUUCCGUCAUUCCGUCCUUCCGUCCUUCCGUCAUCAUCAGUUUCCGUUCAUUAUCUUAAUAACCCUUGCACAUAUUGAACUCAAAUUUGACAUAUGGAUAUGUCAUGAGAAAAUACAGGUCAAGUUCGAAAUUGGUCAUGGUUCGAUGAUUUUUGGCAGAGUUAUGCCCCUUUUACUUUGAAAAUAAUAUGAAAUUUUCAGUUUCCGUUCAUUAUCUCCCCAACGGUACAACACAUUCAACUCAAACUUGACAUAUUGAUAUGUCA
This is a long non-coding RNA of Ruditapes philippinarum (Manila clam), 323 nucleotides long. RefSeq lists it as uncharacterized. NCBI's taxonomy places the organism in Eukaryota, Metazoa, Mollusca, Bivalvia, Venerida, Veneridae. The record is from RefSeq and is a predicted model, not a curated record. The transcript has 2 exons.